This 675-nucleotide ribosomal RNA is filed under the name uncultured bacterium. RNAcentral's name for it is "bacterial SSU rRNA". It matches the Rfam family "Bacterial small subunit ribosomal RNA", at positions 27 to 696 of the family's 1533-position model. The record is from RNAcentral.
GAAUCAACGCUGGCGGCGUGCCUAAUACAUGCAAGUCGAGCGGACCCUUCGGGGUCAGCGGCGGACGGGUGAGUAACACGUGGGCAAUCUAUCUCAUUGACCGGAAUAACGCCUGGAAACGGGUGCUAAUGCCGGAUAGGCAGCAGGGAGGCAUCUCCCGGCUGGGAAAGGCGCUUCGGCGUCACAAAGAGAGGAGCCCGCGGCGCAUUAGCUAGUUGGUGAGGUAACGGCCCACCAAGGCCACGAUGCGUAGCCGACCUGAGAGGGUGACCGGCCACACUGGGACUGAGACACGGCCCAGACUCCUACGGGAGGCAGCAGUAGGGAAUCUUCCGCAAUGGGCGAAAGCCUGACGGAGCAACGCCGCGUGAGCGAUGAAGGCCUUCGGGUUGUAAAGCUCAGUCACCCGGGAAGAGCGGUUGGGAGAGGAAAUGCUCCCAACGAGACGGUACCGGGAGAGGAAGCCCCGGCUAACUACGUGCCAGCAGCCGCGGUAAUACGUAGGGGGCAAGCGUUGUCCGGAAUCACUGGGCGUAAAGCGUGCGCAGGUGGUUGUGCAAGUCUGAGGUGAAAGUCCAGAGCUCAACUCUGGGAUUUCCCUUGGAAACUGUGCGACUUGAGUACUGGGAGAGGCAAGGGGGAAUUCCCGCGUGUAGCGGUGAAAAUGCGUAAAUA